Long non-coding RNA from Astatotilapia calliptera (eastern happy), 1134 nucleotides. The record is from Ensembl. Lineage: Eukaryota; Metazoa; Chordata; Actinopteri; Cichliformes; Cichlidae.
GUUUGGAGAUGCUGUUCUUCAUGUCUCUUUUGUAACAAGUGGUUAUUCAAUUUAAUGUUUCCUUCUACAACUGGAAGAUUGACUGGUGAUUGACUGAUUUAUGUCAACUAGCCUUUGCUAUGCUAAAAUGUAGCCUUUCUUACAUUUUAGCAUAAGAAGCUUCAAAUUAAGUUUCUAUUAUGUUGACAGUUUACUUUAUUUAUAUAGCAAUUAUCAUGUUUAAACUUUCCUUUUAAGCUAAUGUUAGCUUAAGCAGCUAAUCAGCUAUAAUUGAGAAGAUACUUCAUCAUGUGACUUUUUUUGUAUUUAUUUAUUUUCAGUUAUGCAUUAUGUUAGGUUUUUUGUUAUAUUUUUUAUAUAAUAACAGUUUAUAUUCUUAUUAUUUAUUAUCAGUUUUGUCAAUAACGUUACAAGGAAAACAGGUUUGGUAGCUACUCCGCUGCUAGCUACAUUUAUUGCAAAGUUUCAGUUGUAAACCUAUUGAUACUGCUCAGCCUUAGCAUAGUUGGGUGUUAUCAAAAGUGUUGCAGAGUGUCUAAGAGCCCCAAUAUCUUUUAAAGAUUGAAACUUAUGAUCACCUUUUAGAUUAGAUUAGCUUUUAUUACCUGCAACCAGGGCUGCUAUGGCGGGGAAAAAUAUAAGAAUUUAAAAAUUUGAAAACAUUUUACAGGCCUUUCUAGAACCUAGAUCUGGUUAUAAUAACCUUCUCUUUCUUUCUUUUCUUUUCUUUUCUCAUCUUUUGCAGUCCUCCAGCUGUCAGCCAAACAGCAAUGACUUUGCUAAUUUCCUCCCAAAAACAGGUGUUUAUUUGCAGAGGCCUCACUUGUAAAUGUAAUGUCAUCAACCAUCAACAAUUUCAUCUUUUUUUAUUCUAAGACUCUAAAUGUGUACCUCAAAAGUGGAUUAUUUGAGGCUUCAGAGCUAGACCACGUCGACAAACAGCAUGAUGGUUAACACUACACCAGUGAGCAUUUUUAGGUGAAAUGUCCUUUCUUUAGGAAAACUGGACCACAGUGAAUUUACUUUAUGGCUUAGAGUGUUUUGUUUAAAUAUAGAUACUGCACAGCCCUACCAUUUAACCCUGGCUAUAAAAGCACUGCACAACUGUAUUUGGUAUCGUGUUUCCAAACAAAG